CAGAGGCUAAAAUAGUCAAAAACAUUUCUAGUAAAUUAUUCCCAUACUUCUUUUAAUUUAAAAAAAGAAAACUUCUAAUCAGGGGAGGGGCCUCUAUAAAAUAGUCACAAACCUUAUCAAAUUAAUCUAAAAUAAAGCUUUUAAGGGGAAAAAUAGCAUUUGUGAAGGGGAACAAUGGUAGAAAUAAUUUCCACUGAGUCAGUGCUCUAUCGGCUAUACAAUAGUCAUUAAUUGUCUGUUGGCAAAUGCUUCCACUGUAUAAUGUUCACAAAUAACAUUUCUUAUCCUAUAAACUACCCAAACAAAACGCCAUUUUUUUUGGUGACAGGUCAGCACAACACUGGUGUCCAAUGCCAGCUCUUACUAGCUUUCAGGAUAACAAACUUGGAGAAAAAAAGACAUGGGGGGAAACUUUGGUUCACUUAAGGGUAUUUCAGUGUAAGAAAUAAAGGUGAGGCGGGAGAAAUCAAUCAAAUACGUGAGUCUCAUGUAUGAGAGUUGGCAGCCUUGAAUUUGAGUUGUUGUAAAGACAACAUUAUUGAUUUUUAAACUAAUCUCAAAAAGGAAUGCAUUUUAUCAUAAAAUUGCCAAUAAUAUGAGGAGAAUUGUCUUUGAUUUUCUUUAAUCACCUUUUAUUUGAAGCUUUGAUACCCCACAAGCCACCCUUUGGUCUGUAAAACACUCGCGGGCGUGGGCUUCAAUGGAGUCCACUGACCUUUUAGUGACUUGGUGUUGCAUUUAUAUAAAGUCAGGAUGUGUUUUAGCAAGCUGUGACUGGCUGCCUCUUCAGGGUUGUGAAGAUCCACAUAAACAUUGUCUACAAGUCUUUAAAACAGGUCAUUAGUAGUUUCCAUUAACACCCAAGGUGCUAGAAAGAAAGGGAAAUCAAUAGUUGAAGUCUUUGCCUUACGAGGAGCACAAGUUGUCUUCGAUUCAUUUCAGAGGAUUUGCGUGUUUGUUAUCCUGGACUCACCUGUUGUAGUAUUCAGAUCUGCUGAUGCAGCACUUUGUUCGUCCGCCAAGGCACCAAAUAAAAGCUCCAUGACUUCAGAGAAAUUAGAUUAUAUAAGAGUGUAACUUAGUUUGUGUUCUUUGAUCUGGAAGUCAAUUGUUGAGGCUUCAGUUGGACCAUGAGAAAUGUCUGUUUGUGUUUGUGUAGACAGCUUAGGCUGAGUGUGAUUUGUUGAGAAAGGUGAGUCUGUAAGUGAUGACACAAAAAUGAAGGGAAGAGCUGACUACAGAUGCCUGCUGGGAAUUAAGGAGCCCUCACAGGUCAGGUCUGUCAGAUUUGUUUACUGUUGGGGAGAGACGGGGUCACGGUGACUGACUGCAGCUCGGCCCAAAUAACAACAGUUCCACCUUAAAGCUAACUGAUGCCAGCUCAGUUCACCAGAUGGCUGUUAGGGGGCUUUAGAUCAGUUCGUUCUUGUUUCCUCGCUUAAUCGCAGUUCACCUUUUGGAGUCUUGCUGUUUUGCACAUUUUUUUCAGUACAAGUUUGCUUAUUUUUUCGUUCUUUUUGUUUUUUUUUUCCAGUGCACUGUGUUCUGCAGCCUGAUUGGCUUUAGACCUUGUCAUUCAAUCUCCCUUGCCUGGUCUCCAGUUUGUCACAAUUACAUAAAUGUUGAACACGAUCAGAUCUUUGUUUUCAUUCUUUACUGGACUUCUUUUUUCAAGAAGGUAUGAACUUUGAGAUAAACAAGAGAGAAAAGUGUGAACAUCUUUUCCUCCUGUGUCAUCAUAGUUGCUUUGAUUGCUGUCUUUUGAGAGUGGUUGAAAACCAAACCCAGCUCAGUUUCAUCAUCAUUGACAUGUUUUGAAGGAUUUGUUGACCAAAAUACAGACAGACGCAAAGAGCUCUCAGCAUCGGUCUGGCCUUUCUCUGCUGUGAGGGAAUGCAGGUUUGUGGUCUGAGAAGCCUGUGUUCCGUUAUGAGUUUGAGAGACUGCCACAGACGUGACUUGGAAGGAAAUGGAGACCAGACCGACUUGUAAACUCUUUAAAUGGAGAGUCAAUAAAAACAUGGUUUGUAGUCCCACGUGACUGCGUGGCUCUGCAACAGCGUGUUUCCUAUUGUUGUUAAUCACCCUUGGAUUGGUCUUUCAAGGAGGAGGAAGGACUGAGGAACCACAGAAAGAAAAGAAAGAAAAAAGAACCAAAACAUCAACAGUACUUCCACUGGCAUUGUCAUGGUGCCACUGGCAGUCUCUCCUCCCCCCUACCCCUUCUGCUGAGCCUUCCAGAUUGGACCCAGCUGUCAGCACUCACCUCAUCAGCCUGCCUGCCUACUUAAGAGGUAUCUUCACCAACAUUUAUCGCCAGUUUGUUGCUCCUCUAUGGACAGUUUCCCAUGUGUGCUGAUUGGGUCUUACCUACUCACAAGCCUGUUGAAAACUUCUACGCUGACUCUCACAACUCCAAGCCACAUCAAGUCUCUGAGCUUCGCCACUACUCCAAGCCACGCCACACCUCUGAGCCACGCAACUCCUUUCUACCGCUCCACACCAGCUGUUACACCUCAGGGAGAAAACAACAUCCAGACUUACCUGCCGAUCCUCACUUGACCUUGGACAAUAAAUCAUUUAAGUCAACUCGAUCCCCUUCUAUCCUUCCGGGUUCCAGCAAUUGGGUCUUCUCAGCUCUGCUGCCCAUGACAGAACAAACUGGCCAUAUUCUAGACCCAGCUGACCCGGACGGACUUCGCCUCACGGUCGGUAUAAUUUUAUUAUUUAUGGACAUUUUCUACAUUUGUUUUUUCGGUGUAAUCUUCUAUGUUUUCUCACAGCACAGAGGUGUGUCACACAUAGGACAGCCUGAUGCUGUUUUUUUUUUGUUUUUUUGCACAGAACAAAACAAGAAUUUUGGCAGCUUUAGUCUGACUAAUGUCUUUUAAAAAGUACAUUAUUAAAAAGAUUUCUUUUGAUGAUGCUUUACUUCAUCUGAGUCAUUCUUAAAAGCUAACACACACAAAUACAUUUUAAAAACUUGGAUUUAAUAAGUCUGAAUUCUAUCACAACUUCUGUCUUCAUAAACAGUUUAGUUGUUAACAACUCUUUUCUAAGAUCCCUAAAAAACUAAAAUAAUUUUUUUUUGAGUGACUCAGACUCUUUCGCAGAGACAGUGGUGCUUAAAAAUAAGAGUUUUCACUCUGUAUCAUCAACAAACCAAUUUGCUGCCCUCUGCAAGUGGAGUCUUGUAGAAUCCAAGCAAAGCUCUUCAGAGUGAGAUGAUAAUUGAUCUCACCUGCAGCGCCUCUCUGCUGUAAUUGGAGCACUUAGUGCAAAUACUCUGCUAGGAUCUAAUCGCUUAUAAAAAACACUUGGUGCCGAUUGGGGGUCGAGGCUGGAGGAAUUAUCUUUGACUGUUUGGGUCACCUCCUGCACACACAGGCACACAUUUGACAGCUGAAGGUGACUCUGAAGAGAUAUGACAUGUUUAUGAAGAUUUAUUUUCACAUAAUGACGUCAAAGAGGGCUGGGGACCGUCACAUGGGGACCCUAACCUUGGCCCCCUGGUGGUUACAUAGUUAGGCAGUAGCACCAAGGACCCACACUGCAUUGGGCCUUGAAGGAAGAAAAUCUGCAGCAACAACAACCAGCAGCACCUGUGAGGCAUCUGGGUGAGCGCCUCCCCCCUGGCAGAAAUAUGAGCGGUAUGAGAGACGGAUGUGUGACAGGCUGACGUGUUGCUUGUCACAGAGGAAAACACGGCGGUGGCUGAAGUCGGGCUGUCGUUUGUUUGGCUGAUGGAGCCGCAGUGUGACAGGACUAAUGUGAUAUCAGACCAGAGAGCUGAGGAAGCACAUCACAGCACCCAGGGCGUUGAUGCACGGAAGAACAACCAAAUUAUGUCUGUGCAGGAGUGCCGAGCAGCAGAGCAGCACCAGGAGUUCCUACUUUAGACCAGGAGGACCGGCAUUUACAGUAGCUGCCUUUGGCCAGCAGCAUCUUUCUUCUCUUAAACAUCUUGUUGUAGGACAUUUGUCAGCCUCACAAAUCUGCGCCACCCCACCUUUCUGCAUGUGAGAAACCCUGCUGCAUCUAUUGUGGAGGGUUUAGAUCCACCAGAUGUCUUCACUAAAACUGUGAGGAAAAUAAAGACUCACUCCCAUGAAAAUUGUGCUUUUGGUGUUUUUUAUGAU
Long non-coding RNA from Oryzias latipes (Japanese medaka), 4139 nucleotides. RefSeq lists it as uncharacterized. The record is from RefSeq and is a predicted model, not a curated record. NCBI's taxonomy places the organism in Eukaryota, Metazoa, Chordata, Actinopteri, Beloniformes, Adrianichthyidae.